CAAGGAAUCUUCCGCAAUGGGGGCAACCCUGACGGAGCAACGCCGCGUGGGGGAUGACGCCCUUCGGGGUGUAAACCCCUUUUCUGCGGGAAGAAGGUGGGGCAACCCACUUGACGGUACCGCAGGAAGAAGGACCGGCUAACUACGUGCCAGCAGCCGCGGUAAUACGUAGGGUCCGAGCGUUGUCCGGAGUUACUGGGCGUAAAGCGCGCGUAGGCGGCGGUGCUGGCCCGGCGUGAAAGCCCCCGGCUCAACCGGGGAGGGUCGUCGGGGACCGCACCGCUUGAGGGCGGUAGGGGCUGGUGGAAUGCCUGGUGUAGUGGUGAAAUGCGUAGAGAUCAGGCGGAACACCCGUGGCGAAGGCGGCCAGCUGGGCCGUCCCUGACGCUGAGGCGCGAAGGCGUGGGGAGCGAACGGG
RNAcentral lists this ribosomal RNA (418 nucleotides) under Bacillota bacterium. RNAcentral describes it as "Firmicutes bacterium partial 16S ribosomal RNA". It matches the Rfam family "Bacterial small subunit ribosomal RNA", at positions 355 to 776 of the family's 1533-position model. Lineage: Bacteria; Bacillati; Bacillota. The record is from RNAcentral. RNAcentral also lists the same sequence under 1 other name.